UCAAAGUCACGGUAUUGGUAUCAGCAUCGCUUUUUUUUUUUUUUUAAAUGAUAACCAGCCCAAAUUGCUUAUCCUGUGAACUCUACUGAUGUUCAAUAAAUACCCCAACGUAAGGACAAACAAAACCCCAAAAGAAAAGUCAAUUAGCUAUUCAAACCUCCCAAGAAAACUUAACUCAAUGCCUACUCAUAGAAAAACACAAGGGAAAAUGUAUUUUCCUUUGGAGGUCAGUGUGAUAUUAUGACCUUGGUGUGCACAGUUCAAGAUUGGUUUCAAAUUAAUUGCAGUCGCCAUUGACAUCAGUGGUGUGUGGGAAUUAUUCUGUUACUUUCAUACUUGCUCAUUUGCAUGU
Etheostoma spectabile (orangethroat darter) is the source of this 352-nucleotide long non-coding RNA. RefSeq lists it as uncharacterized. The transcript is spliced from 3 exons. Lineage: Eukaryota; Metazoa; Chordata; Actinopteri; Perciformes; Percidae. The record is from RefSeq and is a predicted model, not a curated record.